GGUUAAGCGAAUAAGCGUACACGGUGGAUGCCUAGGCAAUCAGAGGCGAUGAAGGACGUGCUAAUCUGCGAAAAGCGUCGGUAAGGUGAUAUGAACCGUUACACCCGACGAUAUCCGAAUGGGGAAACCCAGUAUCCAAUGGAUACUAUCAUUAACUGAAUCCAUAGGUUAAUGAGGCGAACCGGGAGAACUGAAACAUCUCAGUACCCCGAGGAAAAGAAAUCAACCGAGAUUCCCCUAGUAGCGGCGAGCGAACGGGGAGCAGCCCAGAGUCUUAAUCAAUAGCAGUGUCAGGAGAACGGUCUGGAAAGUCCGGCAGUAAAGGGUGAUAGCCCCGUAUCUGAAGAUGCUGUUAUUGUGAACUCGACGAGUAGGGCGGGACACGUGUUAUCCUGUCUGAAUAUGGGGGGACCAUCCUCCAAGGCUAAAUACUCCUGAUUGACCGAUAGUGAACCAGUACCGUGAGGGAAAGGCGAAAAGAACCCCGGCGAGGGGAGUGAAAAAGAACCUGAAACCGUGUACGUACAAGCAGUAGGAGCCUCUUUAUGGGGUGACUGCGUACCUUUUGUAUAAUGGGUCAGCGACUUAUAUUCUGUAGCAAGGUUAACCGUAUAGGGGAGCCGUAGGGAAACCGAGUCUUAACUGGGCGAAUGAGUUGCAGGGUAUAGACCCGAAACCCGGUGAUCUAUCCAUGGGCAGGUUGAAGGUUGGGUAACACUAACUGGAGGACCGAACCGACUAAUGUUGAAAAAUUAGCGGAUGACUUGUGGAUGGGGGUGAAAGGCCAAUCAAACCGGGAGAUAGCUGGUUCUCCCCGAAAGCUAUUUAGGUAGCGCCUCGUGAACUCAUCUUCGGGGGUAGAGCACUGUUUCGACUAGGGGGUCAUCCCGACUUACCAACUCGAUGCAAACUGCGAAUACCGAAGAAUGUUAUCACGGGAGACACACGGCGGGUGCUAACGUCCGUCGUGAAGAGGGAAACAACCCAGACCGCCAGCUAAGGUCCCAAAGUCAUGGUUAAGUGGGAAACGAAGUGGGAAGGCUCAGACAGCCAGGAUGUUGGCUUAGAAGCAGCCAUCAUUUAAAGAAAGCGUAAUAGCUCACUGGUCGAGUCGGCCCGCGCGGAAGAUGUAACGGGGCUAAACCAUGCACCGAAGCUGCGGCAGCGACACAAAGUGUUGUUGGGUAGGGGAGCGUUCUGUAAGCCUGCGAAGGUGUACUGUGAGGUAUGCUGGAGGUAUCAGAAGUGCGAAUGCUGACAUAAGUAACGAUAAUGCGGGUGAAAAACCCGCACGCCGGAAGACCAAGGGUUCCUGUCCAACGUUAAUCGGGGCAGGGUGAGUCGACCCCUAAGGCGAGGCUGAAAAGCGUAGUCGAUGGGAAACGGGUUAAUAUUCCCGUACUGGUGGUAACUGCGAUGGGGGAACGGAGAAGGCUAGGUUGUCCGGGCGACGGUCGUCCCGGUUCAAGCAGGUAGGCAGAGUGAUUAGGCAAAUCCGGUCACUUAAUGCUGAGAUGUGAUGACGAACCACCAAGGUGGUGAAGCAAUUGAUGCCCCGCUUCCAGGAAAAGCCUCUAAGCUUCAGGUUACCAACAAUCGUACCCCAAACCGACACAGGUGGUCAGGUAGAGAAUACUCAGGCGCUUGAGAGAACUCGGGUGAAGGAACUAGGCAAAAUGGUGCCGUAACUUCGGGAGAAGGCACGCUGGCGGUAGGUAAAGUCCCUCGCGGACGGCGCUGAAGCCAGUCGAAGAUACCAGCUGGCUGCAACUGUUUAUUAAAAACACAGCACUGUGCAAACACGAAAGUGGACGUAUACGGUGUGACGCCUGCCCGGUGCUGGAAGGUUAAUUGAUGGGGUCAGCCGUAAGGCGAAGCUCCUGAUCGAAGCCCCAGUAAACGGCGGCCGUAACUAUAACGGUCCUAAGGUAGCGAAAUUCCUUGUCGGGUAAGUUCCGACCUGCACGAAUGGCGUAAUGAUGGCCAGGCUGUCUCCACCCGAGACUCAGUGAAAUUGAACUCGCUGUGAAGAUGCAGUGUACCCGCGGCAAGACGGAAAGACCCCGUGAACCUUUACUAUAGCUUGACACUGAACAUUGAGCCUUGAUGUGUAGGAUAGGUGGGAGGCUUUGAAGUGUGGACGCCAGUCUGCAUGGAGCCAACCUUGAAAUACCACCCUUUAACGUUUGAUGUUCUAACCUAGGCCCAUAAACUGGGUCGGGGACCGUGUCUGGUGGGUAGUUUGACUGGGGCGGUCUCCUCCUAAAGAGUAACGGAGGAGCACGAAGGUUGGCUAAGCAUGGUCGGACAUCAUGCGGUUAGUGCAAAGGCAUAAGCCAGCUUGACUGCGAGAGUGACGGCUCGAGCAGGUACGAAAGUAGGUCUUAGUGAUCCGGUGGUUCUGAAUGGAAGGGCCAUCGCUCAACGGAUAAAAGGUACUCCGGGGAUAACAGGCUGAUACCGCCCAAGAGUUCAUAUCGACGGCGGUGUUUGGCACCUCGAUGUCGGCUCAUCACAUCCUGGGGCUGAAGUAGGUCCCAAGGGUAUGGCUGUUCGCCAUUUAAAGUGGUACGCGAGCUGGGUUUAGAACGUCGUGAGACAGUUCGGUCCCUAUCUGCCGUGGGCGUUGGAAGAUUGAGAGGGGUUGCUCCUAGUACGAGAGGACCGGAGUGAACGCACCACUGGUGUUCGGGUUGUCAUGCCAAUGGCAUUGCCCGGUAGCUAAGUGCGGAAGAGAUAACCGCUGAAAGCAUCUAAGCGGGAAACUUGCCUCGAGAUGAGUCUUCCCUGUCGCUUUAAGCGACCUAAAGGAACGUUUAAGACUAAGACGUUGAUAGGCUGGGUGUGUAAGCGUAGCGAUACGUUGAGCUAACCAGUACUAAUGAACCGUGAGGCUUAACCUG
RNAcentral lists this ribosomal RNA (2903 nucleotides) under Proteus mirabilis. RNAcentral describes it as "23S ribosomal RNA". It matches the Rfam family "Bacterial large subunit ribosomal RNA". Lineage: Bacteria; Pseudomonadati; Pseudomonadota; Gammaproteobacteria; Enterobacterales; Morganellaceae. The record is from RNAcentral.